UCUAGAGAAAGACGACUAAAGGUAAACGUGAAGGAAAGAAAUUGUUUGUUCUCACAGCUGUUAAUUAAAAAGAUACCAAUAAAAAAAGUAGAGUCUCAUAGCUCAGCUGGUUAGAGCGCUACACUGAUAAUGUAGAGGUCGGCAGUUCGAGUCUGCCUGAGACUACUAAUUUUUAUUACAAUUGGAAAUUCUAGAAGUUUGAGUAGUAGUUAAGUACUAACUACUGACUACUAUGUACUAACUUUUAGUAUAUGGGGGAUUAGCUCAGCUGGCUAGAGCGCCUGCCUUGCACGCAGGAGGUCAUCGGUUCGACUCCGAUAUUCUCCACAACGGCUUAACGUUUAUAUUGAUUUAUCAUUAUAAAUUCGCCACACGAUCAUUGACAUAUUGAAAAAGAUACAUGAAACAUUAGAUAUUUAUAUCUAAUAGAAGAAGUAAAUUAAAAAUUGUUGCGAGCUAGCAAUAAUUAAGAGUAAACUCAUUAAAAAGACAAAAGUGCAA
RNAcentral lists this transfer RNA (501 nucleotides) under uncultured marine bacterium. Its description in RNAcentral is "partial contains 16S ribosomal RNA, 16S-23S ribosomal RNA intergenic spacer, and 23S ribosomal RNA". The stretch from base 92 to 165 matches the Rfam family "tRNA". The record is from RNAcentral.